This 2434-nucleotide long non-coding RNA is filed under the name Capsicum annuum. RNAcentral describes it as "long non-coding RNA (CANN_LNC009363)". The record is from RNAcentral. Lineage: Eukaryota; Viridiplantae; Streptophyta; Magnoliopsida; Solanales; Solanaceae.
UCUGCGUUGGACUGUUUGAACUUAGUAUAAUUAAUCAUACAUCAUAAUAAGCCUCAAAUAGCAAUCAGAAAGCUUAAAUUCAUGUUCAAGGUGGUCCUAUUGGUUAACAAAAUACAUGAGAGAAUUCAUUCAUUAUCAUAUUCGGGAAAAUCAAUGAGAAAUGGUUUUGGGGUUAAAAUUUUAAGAAUGCUCUGUCUAUCUUUUAGAGAUAUCAUCAAUGAUCAUCGAAGUUACAAAUAGAUAGAUGGAAUAAAGGUUAAUCUUAAAAUGCGAGGUUGUACAUAAAGCAUAUACUUCUCAACUCUAAGUUAUAGCAUAUUGAAUCCAUCAUAAUUGUUCAAUCAAGUAAUACAUAAUUUUUCAGAUUAACUCAAACGCAAGCGAUAAUUCUAGUAGCCGCAUCGAGCUUUACGUUCGCACGGCUCCAUUAAGCUAUGAACAAACUUUACCUCAGCCAAAAUCCUACUUCCUUUCAUGUUGUAGAAGACCCCAACCAGAAAAGAAAAACAAGGAAAGCUGGAAUGAACAUGGAGGCAAGAACAACAUGACCCUCCGAAGGAAAACAAAUAGAGCAAAGGAAGGAGGUAGCGCAAUCUAAAAAAAAUCCAUAGCCACUGAACAGAACCUUUAAACUUAUCUGAGUAACGAAGAACAAUCCCUAUGAUAAUCUAAAGUCAUUCAAUUAGGCUAAUAACCUCGAACAUAUCUUCCUCUCCUCGUCCGGUAGUGCAAGGAUAUAAGCCAAAGCUUAUUAGAGAUUCAUGGGAUCAUUAUUAUGGCUCUAUGGCUAACUUCCAGGUCUCUUCAAUAUCGCCGAAUUAAAAAGACCUUGCGAGUUGCGUUAAAUAAAUGAAAAGAACGCAUAAAAUAGACAGAAGAUAACUCAAGAAUAAAAACAAACCCCCGAAAUUCCCCUUUUUACUCUGAAGAAAAUUUUAGACUUCUGAAAGUCGCGAUAGUGCAAAGCAGCCUCCGAAAUUUCUCAUAUUCAGAACAACAAGCCUAAAAAUUUGAAACGGUUAUCCUUCAAAUACGGUCUUACAAAAUAUCAAGGGUUUUAGACCCUCCUUGAGAGAAAAUACACACACAGCAAUGGCUUUGGACAUCAAGGAAAUCCACAUGACCAAAUCCAUUCUUAUGUACAGUAUUCUUCAAUGAAACCAUUACAUUCUCCAUGGAUUUUAAACCAACAAGAAUACUGGCUUGGAAUAAACCCACGGCAGAAAAGAAAAAUUCAAAAUUCCACUAAAAAGGAACACAACUAAUAGGCUAGAAAAGGGAGCCAAUGGGAGCCAAUAUCCUUUAUCCUCCUCCUUACCUCGAUGGACUCAAAUGAAAUGGUCGUCGAGGGAUCCUAGGAUUUUCUGGUGACCUUUUAUUAUUGGACACAUGCUUGGUCAUUCUCUUUGACAUUUGAAAGCCAGAGGAACUCACAAAGUGGUCCUUCCAAUGAUAUUACUAACUAAACAGGAACUAACGAUUCAAACAAAAACAAUAUUUGGCUAGCCGGUGAAGCAAAAAAUCAAAAUAGGAAUCUCGAUGGAAAUCAAUGAAUCAAACUCACAAGCAAUACCAAUGCAAAAUAACAGAUUAGAAACCGAUUAGAAAAUUUUAAAAUCAUAUAACAGGUUAUGAAAUUGAGAUAGGCAAAUGAGACUCAGACCAAAAGCUUUAACGACUAAUCCGACAGUUUUACAUCAAACAUAAUCACAUGACAGGCAUUACCUUCAGCAAGCAUGUCCUAUGGUCUUAUAAGACCUCUACAGCAGCUAAUCCCAGCAUACCACAUCAAAAAUAAAACACUAAAUGACUAAAGAAUGGGGGAGAUGAAAUAGUAAUUGAAAGAUAAAUAAAACGGGAUGUUACCUUUUUCGAAGCAGCAAACCGAGACGACGAACUAGCUAUGGAGAAUCACGACCACCAGAACACUCCUUCACCGUCAAUUCAAAACUAGAAUUUAAUCAAUGAACUUUCAAAACAAGAACAGGAUCUCUGCUAAAGACCUGAUUUUUCUUCAAAAAUUCUUUCUUUUAUUUUUUUUCUUUUUUGAACCAAAAUUUCCUUUCUUGAAUUUCCUCACCCUAGAAUUCCUAGCCUUCAGAAUUUCCCAACCCAAUUUUCGAACCCCGGGAUUUCCCAUUCUCUUUCUUCUCUGCUCUCAAGAGAGCUAUAUAUAGAGGAUCUAAGAAUGGCUCCAUUGGAGCUCAACUGAUCAGUAAACGUUGAUAAUAAAGGGGUAUAUUCAGAAUUUUCCAUGGAGAUAUUCUCUAAAUUUGAACUCACGACAAUGUUUUACACCAACAACUCAUACAGAUUUUGGAGCUUUCCUUGGAUAAAUCCGAAUAGGUGGACCAAUCAAAAUUGGGGAAAAUGGAAUAUUACCUCAAACCAAUGGAAACCAGCCGCAUACGUAUGAAAUCGUACUAAUAAUCCC